GGGGUUGUAACUUAGUGGUAGAGUGCUUGCCUAGCAUGUGUGUGGCACUGGGUUCGAUUCUCAGCACCA
This 69-nucleotide transfer RNA is filed under the name Ictidomys tridecemlineatus (thirteen-lined ground squirrel). Its description in RNAcentral is "Spermophilus tridecemlineatus (thirteen-lined ground squirrel) tRNA". It matches the Rfam family "tRNA". Rfam says of the family: Transfer RNA (tRNA) molecules are approximately 80 nucleotides in length. Their secondary structure includes four short double-helical elements and three loops (D, anti-codon, and T loops). The record is from Rfam by way of RNAcentral. Lineage: Eukaryota; Metazoa; Chordata; Mammalia; Rodentia; Sciuridae.